ACAGGAUCUGCGCCGGCGGAACCCCGCACAA
This 31-nucleotide small RNA is filed under the name Bombyx mori (domestic silkworm). RNAcentral describes it as "ovarian small RNA-11121". The record is from RNAcentral. Lineage: Eukaryota; Metazoa; Arthropoda; Insecta; Lepidoptera; Bombycidae.